RNAcentral lists this ribosomal RNA (443 nucleotides) under uncultured bacterium. RNAcentral's name for it is "partial 16S ribosomal RNA". It matches the Rfam family "Bacterial small subunit ribosomal RNA", at positions 338 to 795 of the family's 1533-position model. The record is from RNAcentral.
CCUACGGGAGGCAGCAGUGGGGAAUAUUGGGCAAUGGGCGCAAGCCUGACCCAGCAACGCCGCGUGAAGGAAGAAGGCUUUCGGGUUGUAAACUUCUUUUCUCAGGGACGAAGCAAGUGACGGUACCUGAGGAAUAAGCCACGGCUAACUACGUGCCAGCAGCCGCGGUAAUACGUAGGUGGCAAGCGUUAUCCGGAUUUACUGGGUGUAAAGGGAGUGUAGGCGGGGAGGUAAGUCAGAUGUGAAAACCACGGGCUCAACCUGUGGCCUGCAUUUGAAACUGUGUUUCUUGAGUACUGGAGAGGCAGACGGAAUUCCUAGUGUAGCGGUGAAAUGCGUAGAUAUUAGGAGGAACACCAGUGGCGAAGGCAGUCUGCUGGACAGCAACUGACGCUGAGGCGCGAAAGCGUGGGGAGCAAACAGGAUUAGAUACCCUUGUAGUC